UGUAGCUCAGUAGUAGAGCACUUGCCUACCAUGCACAAGGCUCUGGGUUCAAUUCCUAGCA
This 61-nucleotide transfer RNA is filed under the name Fukomys damarensis (Damara mole-rat). It matches the Rfam family "tRNA", at positions 6 to 65 of the family's 71-position model. From Rfam's summary of the family: Transfer RNA (tRNA) molecules are approximately 80 nucleotides in length. Their secondary structure includes four short double-helical elements and three loops (D, anti-codon, and T loops). Further hydrogen bonds mediate the characteristic L-shaped molecular structure. tRNAs have two regions of fundamental functional importance: the anti-codon, which is responsible for specific mRNA codon recognition, and the 3' end, to which the tRNAs corresponding amino acid is attached (by aminoacyl-tRNA synthetases). tRNAs cope with the degeneracy of the genetic code in two manners: having more than one tRNA (with a specific anti-codon) for a particular amino acid; and 'wobble' base-pairing, i.e. permitting non-standard base-pairing at the 3rd anti-codon position. The record is from Rfam by way of RNAcentral. Lineage: Eukaryota; Metazoa; Chordata; Mammalia; Rodentia; Bathyergidae.